GGGGGUAUAGCUCAGUUGGUAGAGCGCUGCCUUUGCAAGGCAGAUGUCAGGGGUUCGAAUCCCCUUACCUCCA
This 73-nucleotide transfer RNA is filed under the name Golenkinia longispicula. Its description in RNAcentral is "tRNA-Ala". It matches the Rfam family "tRNA". Rfam says of the family: Transfer RNA (tRNA) molecules are approximately 80 nucleotides in length. Their secondary structure includes four short double-helical elements and three loops (D, anti-codon, and T loops). Lineage: Eukaryota; Viridiplantae; Chlorophyta; Chlorophyceae; Chlamydomonadales; Golenkiniaceae. The record is from RNAcentral.